RNAcentral lists this long non-coding RNA (14223 nucleotides) under Citrus maxima (pomelo). RNAcentral's name for it is "long non-coding RNA (CMAX_LNC001553)". The record is from RNAcentral. Lineage: Eukaryota; Viridiplantae; Streptophyta; Magnoliopsida; Sapindales; Rutaceae.
UCUCUUUCUCCUCUCUCUCUCUCUCUCUCUCUCUCUCUCUCUCUCUAUAUUUCUAGUAACAAUUUCAUUGUCUCAUUUGAAGAAGCAGAUCCAUUGUCAUCUAGUUUCACGUUUCAUUUAUUUUUUCAGCUCCCUUUCUUCGUAAAUUUUGAUCUUGGCGUUCAUCAUAGAUUUGCAUUUUUGUGAAUUUACGUUUGUGUUUCGGAAUCUUUGAGCUUACUUUCUCGCUUAACGCCGGUUCCUUUGAUCUAAUUUGUUGCUCGAAUCUCUUGCGAGCCUUCAUUUUGAGGUAAUUUUCCAUAUUUAAAAUGUUUCUGUACAUUUUUCUUUGGAACAAAAUGUGUUUCUUCUGCAAUUUGCUUUGUAUUUGUUUGGUUGCUGAGAAACCUUCAAGGAAAAUGUAGGCGCAAAGGAAUCUGAUAACUUAUUAGUCAUUUGAAACCAAUUUCAAACUCUUAACGGUCAUUGGAUUCAAAGUUACUGGUUCUUAACCGAUAUUUCGCAAAAUCAAGCGCAGUGUCAUGGUUUAUAGUUAUGUCGUUGGAUUUAUUGCACUUCUUUUUGUUAUCGUUUUGCAGCGUUUACUUUCCUCAUCUGAUUUCCUUUUUAUUUCGUUAUCUUAGAUACUUGUUAGACGAAGAGUGGAGUUUGAUUGGAGGAAGAUGUGCAUUUGGCUUUCAGGUGAGACAUGAUUCUUCCUUUUCUUUAAGUUUCUUUCCUACUUGCUUUUGUUUGUUUUGUAUAGUGCUUAGUACAACUUACUUUAAAGCUUGUUGGGACUUCUUUGAAAAUUUUUAUUGAAUGCACUCAUUGUUAUUCCACAGGGAUGUGAAUGUAUGUCAGAUUGAACACGUUUUUGCCACAGUAUUUAACUUUUCAUUGGCUGAUAUUGCAUCAGAUUUGUACCACUAUCAUAUUAUAGUGCUUUAUUGCUGGAAAAUCAUCAUAGUUGUUCCUUCUGAGUUUCAUAAAUUAAUUCAUGGUUCAUUCAACAAGCAUAUCACUAAAAAUCACAUAAAAUAUUGUGAUGAACAUUAUGCUUGUCUGGAUAUAAUUAAUUUGCGAACAAUUAAAUAAGUCGUUUCUUAGGGAAGUUAUUAACUUUCAGCAUUUGUGGUUCAUCAUUAAGUAUUUAAUUCAAAAUUACCCGUGUUUCCUUAUUUUUAAAAAAUAGAAGAAAAGUGUGGAAUAAAUUUUUUGUGGUGCUUCUAUAGUGGGCAUCGUACAUUAUUUGUGCUUAAUUUUGAAUAUAGAAAUUUUAUUUACUUUAGUAUUUACUAACAUAUAUGUAAAGUAAUAAUCUAGCGGGCAACUUAUAGUGAGUGACAUUGCCACAUGGCUCUGUCCGGUUAAUCCACAUCUUCAGCACUCUUAAAGAGUUACGAAAUUGUACCACGUAUCUAGGUACUCACUAUGUGUAGGCGCUAAAUGCUCAUCAGAUCAUAUUCAUGCCCAGAUAUGUGUGUGUGUGUGUGUGUAUAUAGAUGGUGUGUGUGUAUCAUUUUCAUGCGCUAAAUGCUCACACACACACAUAUAUAUAUGUAUAUAUAGAUGGUGAGUUGUUAGAGAAUAGAACAAGUUGUAAUGAAUAAGACAAUGAUGCUUCUUCUUGUUGUUAAGUCUAUAUGUAUGCGUUCUUUAUGCAACUUCUAGGGCGUAUUAUCCAAAAUAUUAUUUUUCAAAUAGAACUAGAUCAAUCGUGCAAGCUACCUUGGGUUUAUAAUUACAAAAUUUUCAAACAAUGUGUAGUAGAAAGCAAAUGAAAGGUUCGAUUAGGCUUGGUAUUUGUGCCAUGAUGGAAAUGCUAUUAUGAUGAAAUAGUACUUUUCAUAAUGGUUUACCAUGCAUGUUGGAAUGAAACAAUAUAGAUAAGAGAUUAUGUAACAAUUUUUUGGUGAUCUAAAAAGACAUUUUGGUUUAGACUUUAGAUCAAUUUGUUGCAAUGAGUUUUGGACGUUAUGCAUGGUUGGCUUAGAGUUUGGCCAAAAGAUGAUAUUUUGGUGAGAGAGAAGGAAAAAUAAAAUAUAAAAACCCCUCUCCUAAUAACCUUUUGUAGAGAUGCAUGAUUUGGGAAUGUGAUCAAGUUUAAAAUUGAAGCUUUUAUUUGUGAAAUUUGAGAGCAUCAUUUAUGAAAAUUGAUUUGACAUUUUCAUAUACAACUGCUUCUUGGAACAUUGAAAAACAUUGUAGGAGAAGGUGUCGAUGGUAAUCCUUGUUAGGUUUCUCAGAUAUAAUACGGCGUUAGAGUGAACUCCUAACCUGAUGGUGUAGAAUAUUGAGCCUCAAAAGAAUAUAAGGCUUGAUGGGAAGAUUUUCACAUCCUUUAUCACUAUUGUACUAAAGAUGAGCACGGACAAAUAUAUAUGUUUUGGAUGAAAAAGGCUUGUUUGAAGUAUAAGGUAAAACAUGCAUGCCUGGAGAAAAAAGGAAGAAUAUUUUCUCGGUUGAAGUUUUGUCUUUACACAAUUGUAUUUUCAUUUAUGGUGACAUAUUUUACGGAUAAAAGCAUUUGAAAUUGAAAUGAUAGUUGUUCUCUUUCUUAAUCCACAUGUUUGGGUUAAUGCAGUAUUCAUAUACUUACCCUCUUACAGAGUUGAAAUUGAAAUUGAGAUGAUAGUCACAUUUUUAUAUUUGCGCUUAACAGCAAGGCAAUCUUUGGAGUAUUGGAGCAUGGGUGCAAGUUCAUGCACAAGAUGAACAUUACUAGUGCGAACUCCUAGGCAUGUAUAAAAGACUAAGGUUGACUUGAAUAGGCUCAAGGCCUUUUAGGUGCAUUGGCUUCGUUCUUAGUCAAAGCUUUCUUUGCCUGAUGCUUGUUGGGUUGAAGAGCUUGAAAUUAAAAUUGCAAAGAAAAGUCUAUUGAAAGUUGAUAAUAUCAUGCAUGGUAGGAGCCGGUCAUUAAAUGAGUCGGGUUUUCAGAAUUUUGUUUACUCAAUUGAAAUUUUCGUAUCAAUUGAGAAGCCAAGUUGAUUAUAGUGUCAUAUCCACGUCUAGUCUUGAAUGUUUAUGAUUUAAUAGAGUAUGGUAAAACAAAAUAAUUUAUGUUGGAAGCAUUGAGAGUGAGGAGUUUCAAAUUCUAAGAAGGAAAUACAUAGAAAUGAAUUUCAUUUUUAGUAAAUCUAUUCACUAUCAAUAAUCGUCCCAUAUUAGAUGUGGGCGUUAGAGGUAGAGCUGGCAAAAUUUGACAAUACCCAAUUACCUGACACGAAUACGACACGAAUAAAUGGGUAUGGGUCGUCAAAUUUGAUACGAUUAUUAAAUGGGUCGGUUCCGACUCAACACAAUUUUUUUCGGUGUCGGGUUAGGGUUAAAAUUCUUGACCCAUGUACCCAAACAAUGACAAUUAUAUUUUCUUUUUUAAAUUAGUUUCUAGGUUCUUGUCAUUAAAAAUCAAAUAUUGGACAUGAUUCUCUCUUUUUAUUUUUAUUUUUGGAAGGGUAGAUAUAUACACAGUGUUUUAUUUUUAAAAUUUUAUAUAGAUUUAGAACUUUAAUAGUGUAAAUAUACAAAAUAUUGGUACACAUGUAUACUUUAUGAUAUUGAUUUAUAGUAUUAUUUACAUAUAUAUAAUUAAAAACUAUAAUAGUGUAAAUGUGUAAUAUUUUGGGGUGUGUGUAUAUGUUGGGGGGUGUAUGUAUAACAUUUAUUAAAAAUAUAGCUAUUAAACGAGUUGUUAGGUAACACGCUUAUUUUUUUGUGUCAGGUUUGGGUCUCAAUAUUUUGACACGAUUAUUAAAUGGGUCGGGUUUAGAUCAAUCUGAAUUUGACACGACACGAACCCGACCUGACGACCUACUUUGCCAACUCUAGUUAGAGGAUUGAGAGGUUUAAAAAUGUCACUUUAUUAACUGACAUGGAAUGUGUAAAGAUAAGGUUGUUGAUGGAUGUUUACUUGUGAUAGUUUGGGUAUUGUUGCCAUGUUAGUGCUUGGAACAAUGUAAGAAAUAAGUGAAGUGAUGUCAUGAAGGAUAUAAUACUUUAGUGGGAGACAAGAAUAGUUUUCAAUUAUUUCGAAGAAAUAUGCAAUAUGCAAGUAAUUUGUAUUCGACUAAAGUUCACAUCCCUUGUAAGAGAUUAGCAAUUUAUUUCCCUUUUUUUACAUAAGGUGUGGAACAUGUAGGAAUAGUCAUUAUUGGAGUUUUUUUAAGAACUGUUAAAAAUUCUUGGAGGUGAAGUCAUGUAAAGAUUUAUCAAUAAUGAGUCAACAAUUACUCCUUUUCUAGUGUGUAUAGAAACAUGGGCCUUCUGAAAAGUUUCCUUAUUAAUAGGACUUUAUAACACAAAUUAAGUUAAAAUUUAUUCAGUAAUUUUUGUCUGCGCUGGUUUGGUUGAAAUGGAUAAAACACUUUUCUUGAAAAAGAAGUUGAAGUGCAUUUGUGGACGCCAAAUGUUAUCAAUAAUAUAUGUAGUUGAUAGGUAAAAGCUGAAUAAUGGUAUUAAAGUUUAAACAUAGGUAAGAGCUCAAUAAUAACGUAUGCGCCAGUUUAGUUGAAAUAGAUAAAACACUUUUUCUUGAAAAAGAAGUUGAAGUGCAUUUGUGGAUGCCAAAUUUUAUCAAUAAUAUAAGUUUAAGUUGAUAGGUAAGAGCUCAAUAAUGGUAUUAAAGCUUAAGCAUAGGUAAGAGAUUUAAGUUGAUAGGUAAGAGCUUGAAAAUGGUAUUAAACCUUAAACAUAGGUAAGAGCUCAAUAAUAACAUAUGCCCCAGAUUGGUUGAAAUAGAUAACAUAUGCCCCAGUUUGGUUGAAAUAGAUAAAUUCCCUUGAAAGAUGCCAAAUGAUAUCGAUAAUAUAAUUUUAAGUUGAUAGGUAAGAGCUCAAUAAUGGUAUUAAGCCUCAAACAUAUAUUUUUCCUGGAUAAGUUAGAUGUAGUCAAUAGGUUUGUCUUGUCAAAAGUGUAGGCUCAACAACAACGAAAAUACAUCACAAACCAAUUUGUUUCAACCUAUGUAAUAUAGUAGGGGGAUUUGAUGCAAAUUCCUUGGUUAAAUUGCCUGUAAUAUUAGCUUAAAUUACCAUUAAGCUGAAAAAUUAUACUGGAAAAAGGUGUAUUAAAGUAUCAAUUUUCAGUGCUGGUGAGAAUUGGUAACAUUCCUAAUGUAGUUUACAAUUGAUGAUCAACAUUAAUGUCAUUGGCAUAGGCAUUGCCACUGUUAGCACUGUGGCAAUUUUGAUUUCAACAUUACUACAUUCAGUUUGUCUUGCCAUGCUCAUUGUUGAUGCCGGUUAUACUAUCUCUGUUACCACAAUAGCAAAAGUAUAGUAACUGCACUAUGUAAGUUCAAUCCAUAUGAUUUAGUUUAGCUUUAGUUAGUGAUCAUAUGAUUAAGUUGAAGCUAUAGAAUAAAAACCUUUCUAAACUUAUUUGGUGCAUUAUUUACACAAUGGUUUAGCUUAGUACAUUAAGCUUCUCAUAUUAGUUGGACCUCCCUAGUUAAUAGUUUAAGCAUGUGGGUUGGAUAUCUUGAUAUAUGGUGCCUGCAUUUGUGUGGGUAUAUCUUUCUAGUUUAAUUAUUUUUUAGUACAUGUAAGGCCCAUUUUAAUGUCAAUUUUUACCACAGUGCUAUAAGUAAGUUCUAAUAUCUCAUAUGGUUUAUGCAUGUGGGUUGGAUAUCUUGAUAUGCAGUAUCUUCUUUUUGUGUUGUUAGAAAUCUGUGGCCCAUUUUAUAUAUACCAUAAUGAUGUAAGUUUUCAUAUCCAAGAUAGUUACUGAUCCUUAUUGACCCUUUUAUCUUAUAGAUUAAGCCUUCUGCUUCGUAUAUUAAGAAUCAUGUCAUGUUCUUUAAUCCAAAAGAUUAAGUAGAGAAAUUUUCUAUUAGAUUAAAUGAAAGUGGGAGCUUGGUGCAAAUGCAGAUCCAUUUACCUUGCAUUUUGGUAUAAUGAGAAGUAAGCUGCUUUGUCAGAAGGUAAAGUCCAUGAGAAGUAAGCUGCUUUGUCAGAAGGUAAAGUCCAUGAGAAUAACUGAAAGGUCUUGGUGCAGCAGCAUGUCAUUGUCCUUGAUUUUUGGAAAAAUAGGAAGUAGCCUGUUUAUGCCUUAGAAUAAAUAGGGAAUAUGGUAAGGUAAAUAAGACACUGCAUGGUAGCUUGAUAUGAUUAAACAUCAAGUACCUUUGUGCUUACUGUGUGAUAUGAUUUUAGUUAACUUUAUCUAUCUCCCAAUAUAGCUUCAUUGAAGUUGACCGUACUUUGUCUGUCUAUCCUUGAACAUACUUCUAGUUUGAUUCUUGAUUCACUUUGCAGAGUUAGAGUUUUUAUUAUUAUUUAGCAUUAAUCUAAUCAUCAUUUUGAGAAAGGUGCUGCUGGUAAGUCAUCAAGAUAUAAUAGUUCAAUACAAAGCUGUGUAUAUGGGCUACACAGACAUUAAAAUGAGUAUAUUUUGUUACUAGGUAUUUACAAUGGAAUUGGAAUAAAGCAUACAAAAAGUUGCAUAAAAGAAUUGCAACAGGCUGAUUGAAUAUGAUAACUCAUUGUAAGGCUCUAUUAGCUCUCUUCCAUUUCUUUUCCUCAAACUGAGAUUGAGGAUUUCCAUUUCUAUUUCCCUUUUUUCCCCCUCCUCUAUAAUGCCUUUUAUUUUUUAUUUUAAUCUAACACAUGCUAUAUUAGUUUUCUGAUGUUCGGACUUCAAAUCUUAAGGAAUUCAAGUCAAAUCAGCCUGUUUCUAUGAGUAAAAGAUUCAGAUUUUUGAGUGUUUUUCAAUUGUUUGAAUAUUUUCCAAUUCUAUGAUGACAAGUGGCUAACUUAACUCAGCCAAGUCUUAUUCAAAUUAAAAGAAUUAUGUUCUUGCUAUCUAUCAAAAUGUUUGACAUCUAUUGUGUUGUUGCAACCCUUCUCCUUUAUCCGGGCUUGGGACCGGCUGUGUAUGCAAUUAUGCAAGGGUAGAUACACAGGCGGAGUUAUUGCAGCAUAAAUUUAAAUUUUGCAUUUCUAGUUUGGGUCUUUUGUAACCAAAUUGUGUAUGUUUUUUCAGUUAUUUUGCUAGAAAUUUUAUUUUGGAUGCUCUUAAGUUUUCUUCCUUUGGAAAUUAAUUCUUAAACUUCUUGCAGAAGUUACCUUUUUUUCAUUUUCUUUUUUAGUAUAUUUUAUCUUUGUUGUCAAUAGGUGAGCUACAUCUGAAAGUUAAAUACGCAUCAUGAACUUCUCCAGCACACUAUAUGAAUCGUUUCAUCUGUUUGUAGGCAAUGAAUCCAAAUAAAGUGGUGAUCUGAAGAUUGACCAUUAUAUUAGUCUUUACUCCUGACUUCAUCAACAACUUUAAUUUGAUUAACUUUUGACUGUACAAACUGAAAAUUUUAACAUUUUCUAAAAUUAUAUUAUUUAAAAAAUUGACACUCUUUAAUGUUUGGGUAAUAUCAGUGUGUUUAGAAUCAUCUUGACAUUAUUCUGGCUUAUUAUGCAAGUAUUCCAGGUUGAAACAUAUCCUUUAUUUUUUCCUGUUCUUUUUAUCCCUUAAUUUAGAGCUGAAUUACAGUUGUUGCAGUGAGAAUUUUCUACAUUACUUUUGCUGCUUCCCAAAAGAACACCUUUUUCUUCUUUUCUGGGAACCUUCAAUGGUGAACUAUAUGUGUCAGCUUUUAACCCUGAACAUGCUUUGUCCCAGUAAUACAUGCUAAUUUGUGUAACAUGCUCUAUGAAUAGUGGAUUGCAAGUUAUGUUGUUGAAAUAGACCAGCAGAGUCUUAUGUUUGUUUCACAUUACAGUUUUCUGCAUCUGUACACUAGGCGUAGGGAGGGCAGACCACUUUUUUAUUUUUGGGACUUAAUACCACUCUAUUUUAAUAUAACAUGCAAGUAAGGAUUUUACAUAUUUUUCUUUCUUCCUCUAUCAAUUUCUAUUAACAAUUUUUUGUUUUCUGGAAUCUAUAGUUUGUCUAUCCAUUUAGUUGUGCACAUAUCCUUCUUUACUUUUAUUUUGAAAGAAAAAGUACGUGAUGAGUUUAUUAUUCAUUUCCUUUAUUUUAGUAAUUUUCUUAUCAGUUUAAAUGCAGUUCUGGCAAGUGUUGAUAGGUCUUAUUAUGGUAACACGGGCUGAGAGGUAAGUUUUUGUUUCUGUUCAUGUGUGUUAAAAGGGAGGCAAAAUGAAGAAUGAUAGACUAGACACUGUUAGGUCUGUAAUCUUAGUUGAUUGAAUUUGGUUGAGCUCCCAAGCAACAAUGCCUGAGAGUUUGUCUCUCUAUAUAUUUCUCCAAUUAACUGUUUGGUGUUACCUUUUUAUUAGAGCAGAUCAAUAAGUAUGUUUAAUCUUUUUUUUUUAACUUUAAUUAAAUAAAAAAAUGUAUACCUUCGUUUCACUUGUCUAUUUCAAGGACGAAAACUCCUAAAAUAAAUUCAUGGUGCAAUUUCAUUUUUCUUUAUUACACUUAAAAUCUUAUGUUUACAUUAAUAGCUGGUUUCCUUCACCAUCACACAUGUGCUCAAGUUAAUUUUUUCAAUAAUAUGAAACCAAAGUCUUGAAACUGAAAGGUCCGUGGUUUACAUACCACAUCUCACUAAUAGAAGCAUAACCCUCCCAACAUCGACUCAAGUCAAUUAUCUGCAUGCUCACCUUAUUGAAUGUUCUUCACUAAUGCAGUUGCAGUCUGCUGUAUUUAACAAGGAAACAUUUCUGAUUAAAACCAUGGCAACAUCAGAAUUCAAAAUAAAAGUACCACUUUGCAGGGAACUGUACCCCAACUUUGUUGCUCUCGCUGGAGUCUCGUGCUGUGGCUGGCUAAGUUGGAGACGAACAGGUAUGUGCGAGUCCUCUCCAAUCCCUAUAUUGUUUGUGUGAAGUGGAUUUCUGUUUGAUCCAUUCAAAUCCCUUGUUCCAUAAACCUGGGAUGUGAAAUUUUUCUGUUGAGGAUGGCUUUAAAACAUCCAUCAAUAUGUCAAAGUUUAAAUCAUACUACUCUUUCAAGGUUGAUUAAGCUUGUGUUAGUUAUUUAAACCUGUACCUUCGUAUACAAUUCCAUGUUUUCUUGACGAAUUAGGUUUACCUUCUUAUAGAGUUCCACAUUUUCUUGGUGAAUAAGGUUCCCCUGCAACAAGGCCAAUGAAUUAGUAACUUGAAUCUUUUAAACCAAAAAGAUUGGCUACUUGAAUUGAAAUUAUAUGAUGGUAAAUCAGUAGCCAUUGAUUCUGGGAUUCACCUUUCGGCUUAAUUCUUGUAUUUCGUCCAUUAAAAUUUGGUCCUGUACAAUAGAAAAUGUAAGUAACAUUUAUCUGAUAUAUGCACAGUAAUUGGAAGUUUUACUAAGCACUGCAUGGUGACAUUGAAAGACUUUUAAACCUUUUUCAUUCGAACACCUCGAAGACUCAUUUCCAAUUGAUUCUCCAAAUUCUGCAAGUCUUUUACACUCAAACCAGAAAGCUCUUCGCCCAUCAUUUGCCUGUUUGGACAUAUACCAUAGGCAUUUGAAUUUGUAUCUUUGAUAUUCCAUAACAUGUUUAUAGGGUAUGUUAAUGAGAUGCAAUUGAUUUGCUUCACACAACAAUAUACAUUGUGGUCUUCGGGCAUUUUUGGUGUCAACAAAUGCUAAGCUUUAGGCUGUACUAUUUCAGUUUUUCUACUACGAGCUAUUCCUUUGACUUUUAAGGUGGCCCAUCUAUCGAAAGCAUAUACCUGGUAAGUUCUUCAUUCUCUUCUCUGCUAAUUUUGUAGCUAGGGCUGGUCAAUUUGUUGCUGUCACGUCAUGUCAUAUAAAAUCUAAAUCCAUUUGUAGUACAACUAUCAUUUUAUACAUCAUAAGAUAUACUAGCUCAGUGUGCCAAAUUCAGUCUGAAGAAUAUGAAUUUGGAACUGUUCAAGUUUACUGACCUGAGUUUACUUGAUGCGAACCUAAAUAAUAAUGCUUUCAGGGCAGUCUUAGAGGCUUCAUAGCUUGAGGGUUGAAAGCUGAGACUAGAUGUUCUAAAAGUGAAUUUUUCCACAAGUCUAUAUUAAAAUUUUUCCUAGUUCACUUUGAUAAUCUGUGACUCUUGGCUGUCAUGUAAAGUUCUUGAAAUGGGACAUUAAGUUGAUAUUACAAGAUUCUUCAUUCUGAGGUUUUAAAAGUUUCUCCAGUCUAGAGUAAAAGAAUAAAAGGGUGUGUCAUAGAAAGAUAAAUACCAGUGAAAUAUAUAUUCCUCAAAUCUAAUAUUUCAUAAAUAAAAGAAAUUUUGGAUAGUUGACAUAUGAAAUUUAAGAGCAUUCUGAUGUCUUAAAAUUUAUUAAAUGUUAAAGCAAAAAUAUAUUAUAUAUUUUCAUUUGUGUGUAUUAAUGGAUAAUAUAGAACAAUUUAAAAGAGGUAUUUUUGUCGUACAAUAUCCCCAUCCCAUUCCAUUGAAGAUUCCAUGUUUUAACCAAACAUUGGAAACCUUUACCUUCAAUCCAUUCCAUUUCCCUCUCAUUUCCAAUAUUCAAACCAAACAUCACGUGUAACAACAACAACAACAACAACAAAACUUGGGAAAUUGCACAUUAUGCAACUUGGGUUGGGAGUUGAUUCAUUAAAUUGAAGGACAAGAUUUUUUAGAGUCGUUUUCAUUUCUUGCCUAAGAAAAGAAUAUUGGUUUGGUACUUUGGUUGUAAUAUUGGGUUGGGUUGCUGUGUUAUGGUAUAAUAGGCUGCUUUUGCAACUGCAACAGGUGGUUUCACAGAAAAAGACAUGCAUAUAUUUACAAAUAUAUUGAACAUGCCCAUCGAAGAAUAAAAGAUCAUCCGAAGUGUUAUCAUUUCAGUUAAGCGUAAUAUAAACGACAAAACAUGAAACGUGUCAGUAAGCACUAAUGCAAUGCAAGGAAAUGACAGAAAAGUAAUGGUAUUAUGAUAGACGCUGGUUGAAAAUGUUGAUGUACAUAUUCUCUCUAUCUUUUUUGGGUGGAAAACAUUAAGUUUUUGAAAAAUGAAGUCAGAAAUGUGAACAGAGGUGUCAUAUCUGUCAACUUUCAACCAUUAACAUUAUUAUCAUUGAUUGACCUCCAGGUCAAAUAAAUUUUGCUUUAAUAAAAUAUAAGAAUCAUACCGAUGAUUUUCUUGCAAAUUUUGCAACUGUUGUCUCAAUGCAGCUGCCUCCUGUUGCCAGAACUAGCAUGUAUAUACACAAUAAAUUAGAUUCUAAGACACAUUUAGUCCCAAAAAAAAUAUUAGUGAUCAAUUUCUCAAUUUGAGUACUGUUCCACAUUUGACUACUGUUUGGUAGUGUAUCUGGUGACACACUUAGUGAUCAAUUGAAUUUAGGAAUAUAGUCUUUGUUGUUGCUGCUUCUAAUCUUAUUAAGGUGCUCUUUUUUAAGUCUUUUUAUCCAGCAUGAGCUAAAUAUAUGUAUGUGAACCGAUGGAGCAAUCAUGCCUCGAGUUUUCCUUGGAGGUAAAAUUACGAAUCAAAUUUAAGAGUUAAAGAGUACCUUGACUUCAGAGGCAGGGUUGCCUAGUUGAUGAUGUUCCUCUUUUGAUUUGUUGUAUCGCUCAAUCACCGAUUUCAUGCUGGUGUAAGAAACAUAUAUCAGAUAUGUGCUUUUGAUGUUUCUUACUAGGUAGAGAAACAAAAUACGACAUCAGAAAUUGCCACACAAAAUGAUGUGUGGAAAAUAUUAACAUGCUGUAUUUAACUGUAUUAUGUAUCUUAGUCUCUGCGUUCUCCCUUUCUCCAGCUUUAAUUUUUGCUGUUCAAGGCACAAGAAGUUUUAAGAUUACAUCACUUAGAGCUACCAGUUGAAGAGAUGUUCCGAGGAAUUUAAAUCUGCAAAUGCAUGUAAUGAUUCAAGCCCAGACCAAAAGAUAAGUUUCCAUUUAUUUUGCUUUACUUGCAUGAUGCAAACUUCAGUCUCAAUAAGUUCGGAAAGUGUUGUCUUUUCCAUUUUGAAUUGUUUACUAACUGAAAUUAGAAAUGUUCCACAGCUUGGCAAUUGAAUGCAAUAUGGAAUCUAUUGCUGUGUUUACUUGCUGGAGUGGGAGUGAGGAGUGUGGAUUCCUCCCACUCCAGCGUUUACUUCCUUAAAAUAGGAAGGGAGUGGGAAUCCCACUCCGUGGGCUCCACCCAUUUUUGGAGUGGGGAGUGGGAGUGGGAGUGGGACUCCCAUUCCCACUCCCAUCUCUCCCUUUUUUACCCUUUUAUUUUUUUUAAUUUAAUAUUUUAUAAUUAAUAAAAUAAAAUAAAUAAUAUUAUGUUUAUUUGAAUAAUAUUAUUAUAUUUAUUUGAAUAAUAAUAUUAUAUUUAACUAAAUAAUAAUUUGCAUUGAUUAUAAGUUAAAAUUAUUUUAAAAUAAUAUUAUUAUAUUAAUAGAGAAUUAAUAAAUAUAAUAUUAUUAUAUUUAUUUUAAAAAUAAUAGUACUAUAUUUAUUUAAUAUUAAUAAUAAUAAAUAGUUUAUUCUAAGAAAAUAUUAAUUUUGUACUAAAUAAUAUUAUAUUAUUAUUUUAUAUAAUAAUAAAUUUAAUAUAAUUAUAUUAAAUAAAAUAAGGUUUCAUUUUAUAUUAAAAUUAAUAAUUUAUUGUUCAUAAUUAAGAAUAUUAAUAAUUAUAAUAAAUUUACAAAUAUAAUAAAAUAAAUAUUAUUCAUUAAAUAUAUUUUUUAUUAGUUUUGUAAUUAAAAACUAUAAUUCUUUAAAUAAGGAUAAAAUUGUAAUUUAAAACUAUUUACUCCCAAUCCAAGACAAAGUAAACACAUAAAUUGGAUUCUGAUCUCUAUUCCAUACUUCCAUUCCAGUGUAAGUAAACAACCUACUCCCACUCCCACUCCACACUCCCAAUCCUAGGAUUCCCAAUCCAAUCCAAAAAGUAAACGCUACCUAUACUAGUUGCAUUUUUAUACAUUGCUACAACUUUUAUUCUCUACUAUCUCCUCCCUCUCCUUCUUCUAGUAGAAUCCUUAACCCUGAGAACUUAAGGAAGCUAGUGUAAAUAGCUGAAAUUCUUCUCUUUUUCAGGGGUUCAUUAUGUAGUACAGAGGAUUCAAAAACCCAGUCUGCAGCCUUUCACUUACUAGCUGGAUUAUAGUACCAGGCCAACUGAAGUUACUGAUGUUACAAAACUAAGUACUACACCUUUGCCCACAGGGCUGGCUGUAUGAAACUAGGCCAGGAUUGUCAUAGCAUCCUUGUGGUUUAAGUUAUUGUGAUAGAAGAAGAAUUGCAACUGCUUACACCCCCUAGAAGUGGUCACUAUCUAUCAUCAGUUUCACCUAUUUAAUACUUCUAGAGAACAAGAAAGUGCUAAUGCCGCCUCACAAGUUUUGGUUUCACCUAUUUAAUACGUCUAGAGAACAAGAAAUUGCUAAUGCCACCUCAUCAGUUUUAGUUGCAGACAAGUUGUUUUGAUUGAAAACAAAUAACAAAUUUGCAUAUCUGCCGUCAUCUCAACUUCUUUGGGUAUCGUUGUCAUAUUUCACUCUGUCAGCUAUAGUUGCCUGUAAGUAGAUUUGAUUGAGAGCAAAUAACAUACUUGUUUAUCAUAUCAUUCAUCGUCUUCUUUUUUAUUUUUAUUUUUUCCCCUUUUUCUAUUCCAGGCUGCCGUUACCUUGAACUUUUCACAUUCUGUUUUUGCUUCAUCCAUGCAUACACUCUUGUUUCAUUAGUGAAAGAGGAUGCAUUUACGCACCAAUUCUACAGUGAUAAUCUUUUUAAAGGUUUCAUGAGUUAAAAAAAAAAGGGCUAGAAAGUUUGCAUGUUACAGUAUGUUUCCCAUCAAAUCAACCUAUGUGGUCCAAUAAUGCUCUUAGAAGUAAUUAUUCAAUCUAUCAUGUAUAUUGUCCUUGAAGAUCCUUUUUCAUGUAAAGUAGCGAACCUCAAUCUUGUUUGUAUUUGUUGACAUGAGGCAAAUUCAAAGAAAAGGGCUACUUGACUAAGUCAGCCCUUAGAACUUAUCUAGCUAUUUGAACCUGACUCGUCAUUGACUUGGAUAGAGCUUUGCAAGGGAUCGUGUAAAUAGAUCCAUCUUAAACUUUGUGUAAUGGGAUUUGGCUUUGGAACUUUUUGAUAGAAUACUCUCCCCAAUCGUUCAACUCUAAAGUCCUAGAUUUGAAUUCAGUCAAACAUUGUGAAGAGGUUUAAUCAAUGGAUGCUUUUGCAUCUCUGUGAACAAUUACUUGAGAAAUCAGAAAGACAAAUAGAAACUUAAGCCCCAUUUGGGACUAUUGUGCUGUGGCAGCCUAGCUGCUUGGCUGCCAUGGUGCAGCAAUUCCAAAGACAUUAAUAUUAUAAAGAUUCCAUAAAUCUUUUUGGGGCUGUCACAGCAAAGCAGUUCCAAGCGAGGCUUUUGUACUAAGUUUACAUUUUAC